Molecule: transfer RNA, 93 nt
Filed under: Clostridioides difficile
Lineage: Bacteria; Bacillati; Bacillota; Clostridia; Peptostreptococcales; Peptostreptococcaceae
Description: tRNA-Gly
Rfam family: tRNA
About the family: Transfer RNA (tRNA) molecules are approximately 80 nucleotides in length. Their secondary structure includes four short double-helical elements and three loops (D, anti-codon, and T loops). Further hydrogen bonds mediate the characteristic L-shaped molecular structure. tRNAs have two regions of fundamental functional importance: the anti-codon, which is responsible for specific mRNA codon recognition, and the 3' end, to which the tRNAs corresponding amino acid is attached (by aminoacyl-tRNA synthetases). tRNAs cope with the degeneracy of the genetic code in two manners: having more than one tRNA (with a specific anti-codon) for a particular amino acid; and 'wobble' base-pairing, i.e. permitting non-standard base-pairing at the 3rd anti-codon position.
Source: RNAcentral
GCGGGUGUAGCUCAAUGGUAGAGUUCUGGCCUUCCAAGCCAGCUGUGAGGGUUCGAUCCCCUUCUGUAGGUUCGAUUCCUAUCACCAGCUCCA